GUGACCUGCGGAGGAUCAUUAUCGAGAGGGGGGCGUCCGCGCCCCAGGGGCUCGGCCCCGCACCUUUCCACCCGUGCGUAUCUUCCACUGUUGCUUUGGCGGGCCCCGGGGCUUUGCCCCCGGCGCUGGCUCCCUUCCGGGGGGUUCGCGAGCGCCCGCCGGGAGGCCCUAUCGAACACCUGUGUCAUCAGUGCCGUCUGAGCAUACGAAUAAUCAAUCAAAACUUUCAACAACGGAUCUCUUGGUUCUGGCAUCGAUGAAGAACGCAGCGAAAUGCGAUAAGUAAUGUGAAUUGCAGAAUUCAGUGAAUCAUCGAAUCUUUGAACGCACAUUGCGCCCUUUGGUAUUCCGAAGGGCAUGCCUGUUCGAGCGUCAUUACACCCCUCAAGCUCUGCUUGGUAUUGGGUGCUCGCCCCCUGCUCGGCGGGGGGCGCGCCCGAAAUUCAGUGGCGGUCCCGGCGGACUUCAAGCGUAGUAAAUCUCAUCCGCUUUGGAAGCUUUCCCCCGGCGGCCUCGCCAGCAACCUCCUUCUCCCCCACAAUUGACCUCGGAUCAGGUAGGGAUACCCGCUGAACUUAA
RNAcentral lists this ribosomal RNA (579 nucleotides) under Caloplaca borealis. RNAcentral's name for it is "eukaryotic LSU rRNA". The stretch from base 222 to 375 matches the Rfam family "5.8S ribosomal RNA". The record is from RNAcentral. Lineage: Eukaryota; Fungi; Ascomycota; Lecanoromycetes; Teloschistales; Teloschistaceae.